UCCAGACUCCUACGGGAGGCAGCAGUGGGGAAUAUUGCGCAAUGGGCGAAACCCUGAUGCAGCGACGCCGCGUGAGUGAAGAAGUAAUUCGUUAUGUAAAGCUCUAUCAGCAGGGAAGAAAAUGACGGUACCUGAGUAAGAAGCCCCGGCUAACUACGUGCCAGCAGCCGCGGUAAUACGUAGGGGGCAAGCGUUAUCCGGAUUUACUGGGUGUAAAGGGAGCGUAGACGGCAGUGCAAGUCUGGAGUGAAAGGCGGGGGCUCAACCCCCGGACUGCUCUGGAAACUGUACGGCUGGAGUGCAGGAGAGGUAAGUGGAAUUCCUGGUGUAGCGGUGAAAUGCGUAGAUAUCAGGAGGAACACCAGUGGUGAAGGCGGCUUGCUGGACGAUGACUGACGUUGAGGCUCGAAAGCGUGGGGAGCAAACAGGAUUAGAUACCCGGGUAAA
Molecule: ribosomal RNA, 447 nt
Filed under: uncultured bacterium
Lineage: Bacteria
Description: bacterial SSU rRNA
Rfam family: Bacterial small subunit ribosomal RNA
Source: RNAcentral